This 691-nucleotide long non-coding RNA is filed under the name Mus musculus (house mouse). Its description in RNAcentral is "RIKEN cDNA 4930406D18 gene (4930406D18Rik)". Lineage: Eukaryota; Metazoa; Chordata; Mammalia; Rodentia; Muridae. The record is from RNAcentral.
ACAAUGGGGAGGGGUCGCCAGCAGACUGUACACAGACUUUUGUGGCUACACUUUUCUAAAGAGAUGAUACUGUUUUCCAAAGACCUUACUUAGUGUGCGCUCCAGGGUCCCUAGGUUAUUAAGACACACAUCCCUGGAGUUGAAGGAACGGAGGACAGAGACCUCCUCUCACACAUUUGAAAACUGGACGUGUAAAGAAGGCUCACACUGAAUUCUACAAGGCUUCCCAGGAAAAGAAGAAACUGGAACCCAUAGGACUCUACUUUGUUCUCCCAGAAGCAGCUAGCACUGGAAGCAAGAGAGAAACCAGUAUCCAUGCAGAGCAAGCUCGACCUACAAGCUUCAAGGGACAAGGAAGGGGUUUCCAGUGGCCAUGAUGACCCAUGACUGACCAGGGACAGGCUCUUAUCUGGAUGUCCUAAAGACCAUUCCUCUGAUGGAGAGAAGGAAUAGAAAUGCUGUCUGGCUCAAGGAACCUGCUGCUGGCUGGGACUCAUCACUGCUCCUUCGCAUGGAAUGCUCCGAGGACAGAAGCCCAGCUGAGAGCUAGUUAUGCCUUCCUAAUUUAUGGUGGGUCACAGAGGGAAUGAGGCUAGCAUUCCUAAGUCUCCCUGUGCCAAGUGACAAGCACUGGCCUCACGUGUGGCAUCUCAAUACUAACCAAUCCCUGUGACACGGGAAGAAAUCUUCA